CCUACGGGUGGCAGCAGUAGGGAAUCUUCCACAAUGGACGAAAGCCUGAUGGAGCAACGCCGCGUGAGUGAAGAAGGGUUUCGGCUCGUAAAGCCCUGUUGGUAGUGAAGAAAGAUCGAGGUGUUUACUGGCCUGUGUUUGACGGUAAUUACUUAGAAAGUCAAGGCUGACUCCGUGCCAGCAGCCGCGGUGAUACGUAGGUGGCAAGCGUUGUCCGUAUUGAUUGGGCGUAAAGCGAGCGCAGGCGGUACAAUAAGUCAGAUGUGAAAGCCUUGGGCUCAACCGGAGAAUUGCAUCAGAAACUGUUGAACUAGAGUGCGUGAGAGGUGAGUGGAACGCCAGGUGUAGCGGUGGAAUGCGUAGAUAUAUGGAAGAACAUCAGUGGCGAAGGCGGCUCUCUGGUCUGCAACUGACGCUGAGGCUCGAAAGCAUGGGUAGCGAACAGGAUUAGAUACCCCUGUAGUC
RNAcentral lists this ribosomal RNA (465 nucleotides) under uncultured bacterium. Its description in RNAcentral is "partial 16S ribosomal RNA". It matches the Rfam family "Bacterial small subunit ribosomal RNA", at positions 338 to 795 of the family's 1533-position model. The record is from RNAcentral.